Molecule: ribosomal RNA, 468 nt
Filed under: uncultured bacterium
Lineage: Bacteria
Description: partial 16S ribosomal RNA
Rfam family: Bacterial small subunit ribosomal RNA
Source: RNAcentral
GACGAACGCUGGCGGCGUGCUUAACACAUGCAAGUCGAACGGAAAGGCCCUGCUUUUGUGGGGUGCUCGAGUGGCGAACGGGUGAGUAACACGUGAGUAACCUGCCCUUGACUUUGGGAUAACUUCAGGAAACUGGGGCUAAUACCGGAUAGGAGCUCCUGCUGCAUGGUGGGGGUUGGAAAGUUUCGGCGGUUGGGGAUGGACUCGCGGCUUAUCAGCUUGUUGGUGGGGUAGUGGCUUACCAGGGCUUUGACGGGUAGCCGGCCUGAGAGGGUGACCGGGCACAAUGGGACUAAGGUACGGAGCAGAAUGCUACGGGAGGCAGCAGGGGGGAAUAUUGCGCAAUGGGGGGAAGCCUGAUGCAGAAGCGUCGCGUGCGGGAUACUGGCCUAUGAGUUGUAAACCGAUUUCGCCUGUGACGAGGCGUGAGUGACGGUAAUGGGUAAGGAAGCACCGGCUAACUACGUG